CCUGCUUUUGUGGGGUGCUCGAGUGGCGAACGGGUGAGUAACACGUGAGUAACCUGCCCUUGACUUUGGGAUAACUUCAGGAAACUGGGGCUAAUACCGGGUAGGAGCUCCUGCUGCAUGGUGGGGGUUGGAAAGUUUCGGCGGUUGGGGAUGGACUCGCGGCUUAUCAGCUUGUUGGUGGGGUAGUGGCUUACCAAGGCUUUGACGGGUAGCCGGCCUGAGAGGGUGACCGGCCACAUUGGGACUGAGAUACGGCCCAGACUCCUACGGGAGGCAGCAGUGGGGAAUAUUGCACAAUGGGCGGAAGCCUGAUGCAGCAACGCCGCGUGCGGGAUGACGGCCUUCGGGUUGUAAACCGCUUUCGCCUGUGACGAAGCGUGAGUGACGGUAAUGGGUAAAGAAGCACCGGCUAACUACGUGCCAGCAGCCGCGGUGAUACGUAGGGUGCGAGCGUUGUCCGGAUUUAUUGGGCGUAAAGGGCUCGUAGGUGGUUGAUCGCGUCGGAAGUGUAAUCUUGGGGCUUAACCCUGAGCGUGCUUUCGAUACGGGUUGACUUGAGGAAGGUAGGGGAGAAUGGAAUUCCUGGUGGAGCGGUGGAAUGCGCAGAUAUCAGGAGGAACACCAGUGGCGAAGGCGGUUCUCUGGGCCUUUCCUGACGCUGAGGGGCGAAAGCGUGGGGAGCGAACAGGCUUAGAUACCCUGGUAGUCCACGCUGUAAACGGUGGGUACUAGGUGUGGGGGUCCAUUCCACGGGUUCCGUGCCGUAGCUAACGCUUUAAGUACCCCGCCUGGGGAGUACGGCCGCAAGGCUAAAACUCAAAUGAAUUGAC
RNAcentral lists this ribosomal RNA (830 nucleotides) under uncultured Propionibacterium sp. RNAcentral's name for it is "bacterial SSU rRNA". It matches the Rfam family "Bacterial small subunit ribosomal RNA", at positions 74 to 914 of the family's 1533-position model. Lineage: Bacteria; Bacillati; Actinomycetota; Actinomycetes; Propionibacteriales; Propionibacteriaceae. The record is from RNAcentral.